AAUUAACGAUAAAAGUUAGGAGUAUUGAAUGAGCGACUUGGAUAAAAUUUAAACUGGUAUUGAUAAAUUAAUUUUCUUACGAGUAAAUUUGGGUUAUUUAGACCGUCCAAAUUAUUGGCCCAAAGUUCUAGAUGAGCUAACUUUGGUGAUGACCACACUGAUCCGUAAAUGAAUAUCUGUUCAGCUCAAUCCAUCCAAACCUGCAUGAAUUGGCCAAGUUUGAUUUCAUUUGUUGAAAUUUGACACUUGUAGUAGUUAUAUGCAUG
RNAcentral lists this long non-coding RNA (266 nucleotides) under Nicotiana benthamiana. RNAcentral's name for it is "long non-coding RNA (NBEN_LNC010692)". Lineage: Eukaryota; Viridiplantae; Streptophyta; Magnoliopsida; Solanales; Solanaceae. The record is from RNAcentral.